UACGAAGGGGGCUAGCGUUGCUCGGAAUCACUGGGCGUAAAGCGCACGUAGGCGGAUCUUUAAGUCAGGGGUGAAAUCCUGGAGCUCAACUCCAGAACUGCCUUUGAUACUGGGGAUCUCGAGUCCGGAAGAGGUGAGUGGAACUCCGAGUGUAGAGGUGAAAUUCGUAGAUAUUCGGAAGAAUACCAGUGGCGAAGGCGGCUCACUGGUCCGGUACUGACGCUGAGGUGCGAAAGCGUGGGGAGCAAACAGG
This 253-nucleotide ribosomal RNA is filed under the name uncultured bacterium. RNAcentral describes it as "partial 16S ribosomal RNA". It matches the Rfam family "Bacterial small subunit ribosomal RNA", at positions 524 to 776 of the family's 1533-position model. The record is from RNAcentral.